GCGGCCGUGGCGGAAUCGGCAGACGCGCUAGGUUGAGGGCCUAGUGGGGGUUAACCCCGUGGUGGUUCAAAUCCACUCGGCCGCACCA
This 88-nucleotide transfer RNA is filed under the name Planctomycetota bacterium. RNAcentral's name for it is "tRNA-Leu". It matches the Rfam family "tRNA". From Rfam's summary of the family: Transfer RNA (tRNA) molecules are approximately 80 nucleotides in length. Lineage: Bacteria; Pseudomonadati; Planctomycetota. The record is from RNAcentral.